AAGGGUAUCGCUCAGUGGUAGAGCACGUGCUCAGCACACACAAGGCCCUGGGUUCAAUCCCCGGUACCACUG
RNAcentral lists this transfer RNA (72 nucleotides) under Camelus dromedarius (Arabian camel). It matches the Rfam family "tRNA". Rfam says of the family: Transfer RNA (tRNA) molecules are approximately 80 nucleotides in length. Their secondary structure includes four short double-helical elements and three loops (D, anti-codon, and T loops). The record is from Rfam by way of RNAcentral. Lineage: Eukaryota; Metazoa; Chordata; Mammalia; Artiodactyla; Camelidae. RNAcentral also lists the same sequence under 1 other name.